Molecule: non-coding RNA, 492 nt
Organism: Cajanus cajan (pigeon pea)
Lineage: Eukaryota; Viridiplantae; Streptophyta; Magnoliopsida; Fabales; Fabaceae
Source: RefSeq, a predicted model, not a curated record
UCCAAUCUUAUAGUCGGAAAGGCAUUUGCUGUUGCCACUGCAAUUGUAUUUGGUGGAGCUGCAUUGGUACUCGGUAUGGUGACAUCCAAGUUAGAGCUGCAUAAUGUCGGUGACAUCAAAACUAAGGGAAAAGACUAUGUUGAGCCACAACUUGAGAAUAUUAAAGAGCAAUUUAUUCCCUUCAAAAUAUGGGCUGAGAAUAUGUCAAGAAAGUGGCAUAUGGAAAAGAAAGAUGUUGAGCAGAACACUCUUGUAAAGGAGCUAUCUAAAAUGUGGGGUGCAAAAACAACAGAUUGAGAUUUACAAAUUUAUUUGUUUUCCUUUUACUUCAGUUGCUUUGGAAAUUAUGUCAUGGGCAACAAAACAUAGAUAAAUUGGAUGUAGUAUGCCUCUGGCUGUUGUGACUGUAAAUGUUGAAGCAUGCCAGAGGGUAAGAAUAAGGAAAAUGAUAUUUGUAUAACAAAAUAAUAUAAUGAUUUACAACUUGUUUUA